This 487-nucleotide ribosomal RNA is filed under the name Salmonella enterica subsp. enterica. RNAcentral describes it as "bacterial SSU rRNA". It matches the Rfam family "Bacterial small subunit ribosomal RNA", at positions 936 to 1424 of the family's 1533-position model. Lineage: Bacteria; Pseudomonadati; Pseudomonadota; Gammaproteobacteria; Enterobacterales; Enterobacteriaceae. The record is from RNAcentral.
AGCAUGUGGUUUAAUUCGAAGCAACGCGAAGAACCUUACCAGGUCUUGACAUCCUCUGACAACCCUAGAGAUAGGGCUUCUCCUUCGGGAGCAGAGUGACAGGUGGUGCAUGGUUGUCGUCAGCUCGUGUCGUGAGAUGUUGGGUUAAGUCCCGCAACGAGCGCAACCCUUGAUCUUAGUUGCCAUCAUUAAGUUGGGCACUCUAAGGUGACUGCCGGUGACAAACCGGAGGAAGGUGGGGAUGACGUCAAAUCAUCAUGCCCCUUAUGACCUGGGCUACACACGUGCUACAAUGGACGGUACAAAGAGCUGCAAGACCGCGAGGUGGAGCUAAUCUCAUAAAACCGUUCUCAGUUCGGAUUGUAGGCUGCAACUCGCCUACAUGAAGCUGGAAUCGCUAGUAAUCGCGGAUCAGCAUGCCGCGGUGAAUACGUUCCCGGGCCUUGUACACACCGCCCGUCACACCACGAGAGUUUGUAACACCCGA